UGGGUAACGUGCCCCGAUGACUGGGACAACCCGGGGAAACCCGGGCUAAUACCGGAUAUGCCCCCUCACAUCAGUGAGGUGUGUAAAGGAAGCUUCGGCCUCCGCAUCGGGAUCGGCCCGCGGCCCAUUAGCUUGUUGGUGAGGUAACGGCUCACCAAGGCUGCGAUGGGUAGCUGGUCUGAGAGGACGAUCAGCCACACUGGGACUGAGACACGGCCCAGACUCCUACGGGAGGNAG
This 238-nucleotide ribosomal RNA is filed under the name uncultured bacterium. RNAcentral's name for it is "partial 16S ribosomal RNA". It matches the Rfam family "Bacterial small subunit ribosomal RNA", at positions 118 to 351 of the family's 1533-position model. The record is from RNAcentral.